CCUACGGGAGGCAGCAGUGAGGAAUAUUGGUCAAUGGCCGUAAGGCUGAACCAGCCAAGUCGCGUGAAGGAAGAAGGAUCUAUGGUUUGUAAACUUCUUUUGUAGGGGGAUAAAGAUGUCCACGUGUGGAUAUUUGCAUGUACCCUAUGAAUAAGCAUCGGCUAACUCCGUGCCAGCAGCCGCGGUAAUACGGAGGAUGCGAGCGUUAUCCGGAUUUAUUGGGUUUAAAGGGGGCGCAGGCGGAUUUUGAAGUCAGCGGUCAAAGUGCGGGGCUCAACCCCAGACAGCCGUUGAAAAUGGUGAUCUAGAGUGUGCGUGAGGUAUGCGGAAUGCGUGGUGUAGCGGUGAAAUGCAUAGAUAUCAUGCAGAACCCCGAUUGCGAAGGCAGCAUACCGGUGCACAACUGACGCUCAGGCACGAAAGCGUGGGUAUCGAACAGGAUUAGAUACCCGAGUAGUC
This 459-nucleotide ribosomal RNA is filed under the name uncultured bacterium. RNAcentral describes it as "partial 16S ribosomal RNA". It matches the Rfam family "Bacterial small subunit ribosomal RNA", at positions 338 to 795 of the family's 1533-position model. The record is from RNAcentral.